This is a non-coding RNA of Columba livia (rock pigeon), 47 nucleotides long. The record is from Rfam. NCBI's taxonomy places the organism in Eukaryota, Metazoa, Chordata, Aves, Columbiformes, Columbidae.
UAAAUGGUUUUGUUUAAAACCAAAACACUUUUAAAUAGAAUUAUUGU